AUUGAACGCUGGCGGCAUGCCUUACACAUGCAAGUCGAACGGCAGCGGACCUUCGGGUGCCGGCGAGUGGCGAACGGGUGAGUAAUAUAUCGGAACGUACCUUUCAGUGGGGGAUAACGUAGCGAAAGUUACGCUAAUACCGCAUAUUCUGUGAGCAGGAAAGCAGGGGAUCGCAAGACCUUGCGCUGAUUGAGCGGCCGAUAUCAGAUUAGCUAGUUGGUGAGGUAAAGGCUCACCAAGGCGGCGAUCUGUAGCGGGUCUGAGAGGAUGAUCCGGCCACACUGGAACUGAGACACGGUCCAGGACUCCUACGGGAGCAGCAGUGGGGAAUUUUGGACAAUGGGCGCAAGCCUGAUCCAGCCAUGCCGCGUGAGUGAAGAA
This 381-nucleotide ribosomal RNA is filed under the name uncultured bacterium. RNAcentral describes it as "bacterial SSU rRNA". It matches the Rfam family "Bacterial small subunit ribosomal RNA", at positions 30 to 412 of the family's 1533-position model. The record is from RNAcentral.